RNAcentral lists this ribosomal RNA (456 nucleotides) under Phrynops williamsi. RNAcentral's name for it is "partial 16S ribosomal RNA". It matches the Rfam family "Bacterial large subunit ribosomal RNA", at positions 1928 to 2561 of the family's 2925-position model. The record is from RNAcentral. Lineage: Eukaryota; Metazoa; Chordata; Testudines; Chelidae.
CGGCCGCGGUAUUCUGGCCGUGCGAGGUAGCAUAAUCACUUGUCUUUUAAAUAGAGACUGGAAUGAAUGACUAAACGAGGCUCUAUCUGUCUCCUACAGGCGAUCAGUGAAAUUGAUCUCCUCGUGCAAAAGCGAGAAUGGUAACAUAAGACGAGAAGACCCUGUGGAACUUUAAAUAACAGCUAAUAACCAUAAACCCACUAAACCGAUAGGACCACUACCAUGACCACUCUUAGCUCUAUUUUCGGUUGGGGUGACCUCGGAGAAAAACGCAACCUCCGAAGACCUAUACUAAGAGCAACAAACCAAAGUGCCUCCGGCUAAACGAUCCAAUAUAUUUGAUUGAUGAACCAAGCUACCCCAGGGAUAACAGCGCAAUCCCCUCUUAGAGUGCCAUAUCAACGAUGGGGGUUUACGACCUCGAUGUUGGAUCAGGACAUCCUAAUGGUGCAGCCG